UGAGGAAUAUUGGGCAAUGCCCGAAAGGGUGACCCAGCAACGCCGCGUGGAGGAUGAAGGUCGUAAGAUUGUAAACUCCUGUUAGAGGGGAAGAAUAGUACCGGUUGGACCGGUAUAUGACUGUACCCUCAGAGAAAGCCCCGGCUAACUACGUGCCAGCAGCCGCGGUAAUACGUAGGGGGCAAGCGUUGUCCGGAUUUACUGGGUGUAAAGGGCGCGCAGGCGGGAUAAAAAGUCAGUGGUGAAAUCCUACAGCUUAACUGUAGAACUGCCUUUGAUACUUUUAUGCUUGAGUUCGGGAUAGGGAGACGGAAUUCCAGGUGUAAUGGUGAAAUACGUAGAUAUCUGGAAGAACACCAGUUGCGAAGGCGGUCUCUUGGUCCGACACUGGCGCUGAGGCGCGAAAGCGUGGGGAGCAAACA
Molecule: ribosomal RNA, 422 nt
Filed under: uncultured bacterium
Lineage: Bacteria
Description: bacterial SSU rRNA
Rfam family: Bacterial small subunit ribosomal RNA
Source: RNAcentral